GAAAACCAUCUCGUAUUUUACGAAAAUAGUUCACUGAAACGUGUUUCUGAAAACAUUUUAAGCGAGAAACAGGCCAAACAGUUGCUGAAUCUGUCUUCGUUUCAGAUUGACAAAGGCCUGUUUGAAAGAUUUACUCUACUUCUAUUGGAUGGUUGCGUCGCGUUCAACGGAUUAAUUUGCAUAAAGAUGGGCAUCAGCAAUCUUUUUGGAUUGGUAUGAUUCGUUCAAAUGCUGCGCUGCCGUCCCAGGAUGCUUUGCGGGCGCUUUAAAGUCGCUUUAUUUCGCCCAUAGGAAUAAAGUGGAGCGCGGCGCAACAGAAGCAUCCC
Long non-coding RNA from Etheostoma spectabile (orangethroat darter), 326 nucleotides. RefSeq lists it as uncharacterized. The transcript is spliced from 3 exons. The record is from RefSeq and is a predicted model, not a curated record. Lineage: Eukaryota; Metazoa; Chordata; Actinopteri; Perciformes; Percidae.